This 77-nucleotide transfer RNA is filed under the name Mycobacterium avium subsp. hominissuis. RNAcentral describes it as "tRNA-Met". It matches the Rfam family "tRNA". From Rfam's summary of the family: Transfer RNA (tRNA) molecules are approximately 80 nucleotides in length. Their secondary structure includes four short double-helical elements and three loops (D, anti-codon, and T loops). RNAcentral also lists the same sequence under 3 other names. The record is from RNAcentral. Lineage: Bacteria; Bacillati; Actinomycetota; Actinomycetes; Mycobacteriales; Mycobacteriaceae.
UGCGCGGUAGGACAGUUCGGAAGUCCGCCGGGCUCAUAACCCGGAAGUCGCAGGUUCAAAUCCUGCCCGCGCAACUA